GACGAACGCUGGCGGCGUGCUUAACACAUGCAAGUCGAACGAAGAGCGAUGGACGCUUGCUUCUCUCAAUCUUAGUGGCGGACGGGUGAGUAACGCGUAAUCAACCUGCCCUUCAGAGGGGGACAACAGUUGGAAACGACUGCUAAUACCGCAUACGAUCUAAUCUCGGCAUCGAGGAUAGAUGAAAGGUGGCCUCUACAUGUAAGCUAUCACUGAAGGAGGGGAUUGCGUCUGAUUAGCUAGUUGGAGGGGUAACGGCCCACCAAGGCGAUGAUCAGUAGCCGGUCUGAGAGGAUGAACGGCCACAUUGGGACUGAGACACGGCCCAGACUCCUACGGGAGGCAGCAGUGGGGAAUCUUCCGCAAUGGACGAAAGUCUGACGGAGCAACGCCGCGUGAGUGAUGACGGCCGUCGGGUUGUAAAGCUCUGUUAAUCGGGACGAAAGGCCUUCUUGCGAAUAGUGAGAAGGAUUGACGGUACCGGAAUAGAAAGCCACGGCUAACUACGUG
RNAcentral lists this ribosomal RNA (510 nucleotides) under uncultured bacterium. RNAcentral's name for it is "partial 16S ribosomal RNA". It matches the Rfam family "Bacterial small subunit ribosomal RNA", at positions 28 to 507 of the family's 1533-position model. The record is from RNAcentral.